Acipenser ruthenus (sterlet) is the source of this 329-nucleotide long non-coding RNA. RefSeq lists it as uncharacterized. Lineage: Eukaryota; Metazoa; Chordata; Actinopteri; Acipenseriformes; Acipenseridae. The record is from RefSeq and is a predicted model, not a curated record. The transcript is spliced from 3 exons.
GUCUCUCUGUGCCCCUCCUGAAGCUGGGGACUUAGCCAUCAUUGCUGUUAAUACAGGCAUCUCUUUUGGGGCUGUGAGGAAAGCAGUAUCUAAACUUAAAGACCAUAUUGAGGACUUCUGCAAGGGGGAAUUAGUCAAAAUAACCACAACAGUGAAUGAAGUUGCAGUUUACAGUCUGUGGCCUCCAGAGACAAGGAACAGAGCUGAGUUUUUAAAAUAUUCCUGUCAGCUCACACUGAAUCCCAACACAGCAUAUAGAAACCUCUGUUUGUCUGAAGGGAACAGAAAGGUGACUGUGGUGGAAUUUUCUGCAUACAACCGAGCAGGCA